GAUUCCGUAGUGUAGUGGUUAUCACGUGCGCCUCACACGCGCAAGGUCUCCGGUUCGAGCUCGGGCGGAAUCA
This 73-nucleotide transfer RNA is filed under the name Patiria miniata (bat star). RNAcentral describes it as "tRNA-Val". It matches the Rfam family "tRNA". From Rfam's summary of the family: Transfer RNA (tRNA) molecules are approximately 80 nucleotides in length. Their secondary structure includes four short double-helical elements and three loops (D, anti-codon, and T loops). The record is from Rfam by way of RNAcentral. Lineage: Eukaryota; Metazoa; Echinodermata; Asteroidea; Valvatida; Asterinidae.